UGGGGAAUCUUGGACAAUGGGCGCAAGCCUGAUCCAGCCAUGCCGCGUGAGCGAUGAAGGCCUUAGGGUUGUAAAGCUCUUUCAACGGUGAAGAUAAUGACGGUAACCGUAGAAGAAGCCCCGGCUAACUUCGUGCCAGCAGCCGCGGUAAUACGGAGGGGGUUAGCGUUGUUCGGAAUUACUGGGCGUAAAGCGCACGUAGGCGGACCAGAAAGUUGGGGGUGAAAUCCCGGGGGCUCAACCCCGGAACUGCCUCCAAAACUAUUGGUCUAGAGUUCGAGAGAGGUGAGUGGAAUUCCAAGUGUAGAGGUGAAAUUCGUAGAUAUUUGGAGGAACACCAGUGGCGAAGGCGGCUCACUGGCUCGAUACUGACGCUGAGGUGCGAAAGUGUGGGGAGCAAACAGGAUUAGAUACCCUGGUAGUCCACACCGUAAAACGAUGAAUGCCAGUCGUCGGGUAGCAUGCUAUUCGGU
This 473-nucleotide ribosomal RNA is filed under the name uncultured bacterium. RNAcentral describes it as "bacterial SSU rRNA". It matches the Rfam family "Bacterial small subunit ribosomal RNA", at positions 355 to 844 of the family's 1533-position model. The record is from RNAcentral.